AUAUUCAACCCGCGGUCUUUUUUACGUCAAUGCGGUGGCUCGAGCGGCUGGGGGUGAGGCGGCUGGAGCUUGCAGGGGCGGAUCUGUGCACGGCAGGGGCUGGGGAGGCGGAUCCGAUGGCGGGCGGCGAGGCAAGGGUCGCCGGUGACGACGAGGAAGGCCAGACCGCGGCUUCCCGGGCGGAUCCAUGGCAGAAAAGAGACAGGGUGGUGAGGAAGAGAAGAUGGGAGAAAAGAGGGCGGUGCGGCGACCCCGGCAUGCUCGCCGGAGCCGGGUGAUGGCAGACAGGCGCGGGAGACGGAGGGAUCCGGCAUGGCAGCGCGAAGUCCUUUUAGUUGGAGGCGGGCCUCCAUGGCCGCGGCAACCCCUCCUCUUCUCUCUGUGGCCGCGGCAGCUCAGGCAGCGGUCAGAUCCACCCUCCCACCCUCAUUCCUCGCGCUGGAUAACCUAGCCACCAGGCCAUGGUGACCGACGGCGAUAAUGACGGUGGUGGCUACCUCGACGACGGCGGCACACACCCAACAUCGCCAUGGACCAGUAGCUCAAGCAUUCUUCUUCCUGAUGGUGAUGGGGUUCCCUCACCAUCUUCAGGUCGUCAUCCUUGAGGCCUCCACCAUCUGCAGGCGCACGCCAUCACGCUCUUCCAUUCCAGGGGCAACCAGGCCCGAGUCACCAUCAUCCUGAUGUUGCCACGAUGGGUGGCGGCAGCGGACAGACCAAUGCACCUUGUGGUGAUAUCUACGUUAGGGAGGGUGUUGUUGCCGUCCACCACAAUAACAACCUGUGUUGUGUCGAUUUUAGAUUCUUUGGUGACGAAUUGGACUACAUCCCGCUGAAGGCCGCUUAUCCUGCUCAUGAGCAAGGCUACUUAAAAGCAAUCCUAGGUGAGUGAUCUGUUCUUUGUCAUGUCAUGUAUGUAGUUCCACCGACCUCAUGUUGGAUCGGAGUGUUUUCUACAGGAUUCUUGUGGUGAAUUCUUGAAGAAAAAAAUCAUUCUUCAAGAUGAUGUUUUCAAGCUCUGAAUAGUGAUUAUGUUUGUUCUAUAGUAUACCAAAGAUCAUGCUUUUCUUUAUGUCACAGAACCGAUAUGCUCUAAAUUCCAAUGGCACUAAACAUCUUACGGAUAAAAUAGAAGCAACCUUUAGGAACUGGACAUGUCUGCUCUAUAAGAACCCCUGUGCUUAUACCAUGAUUUUGCUGUAACCUAGCAUUAGGUGUGCAUGGGUCGUAGCUGCACCUAUAUAAGGAGCAACAAUGGUUAUAUUAAAAGGAUUUUCUUCCUCUAUUCCAUCGCCCCUCACGGGUCCCCCACUCCCACACGCUCCCUCCUUACUGCUCCCAUUCAUCCUCUCUCCUGGAUCCCACACCCAUUGUAGCUCAAUCCACGCUGUAGUGUGCAUCUCCAGUUAUUGGUACUAACGAAAAUGCUGCCUCCUCGCCACCGGGCAGCACCAACCGGAUGUUGCCGUGUUGUGUUUGUGUAAAAAUAUAUGGUAAAUAAAAUAUAUUUAUGAACACUUACUGAACAUACAACGGUGAUAAAUAUAUGUAAUUUCAUUUACAUCACCUGUUUUGAACUGUAUUUUAUAUGCAAUUUCUAUAUCAUGGUGGAACACAAAAUUUGAAUAAAAAAUAAUAGCACUGACCAAUGUAUAUUCUGCAAGUUCAGAUAUAUAUCCAUACUUAACUAAAGUACAUACACUGCAUACUGUGGAAUCACACGGCAAAUAUUCAUGCUUAACUAAAUGCAUCCGCUCCAUUCUGGCAGUAGUGAAUCUCGGGACAGUUCUGUGUGGCCUUGGAUCAAUCCUGAACUGAUUGGUGUUAUCUGCCCAUUCUCUUUACAUGACCAAAUAAAAAUAUUUGUAGUUGCUUUUGCUGAGAUGAAUUGUUUGUUUCAUGGAUCCAAGCGUUGUUUUGGCGCUAAACCAAAUCCUGGACCGAAGCCACAUAUGGUCUCUGCUUAAUUGUCUUAUAAGCAGUAGUGCAGCUGAGUUCUGGAAAUCCCACCCUCCUUGCCAGUAGCAAGAUGUGACUAAACUUAUAAAUAGGGAUUAGAAAGGAACAUGUUACUUUGGUUACUAUUAUCUUUAUUUUAUGUAAUUUAGCUUAUUGCAACUGUGGUUUUAUGCUGCAGUUGACAAGAUCCUUAAAGUUAGCUGGCAAUCUUCUUCUAUCCAUUUCAUUGUACUAUGUUUUUGAAGCUCCAAUGUUUACUUCAAAAAAUUGGAAUUUGCAAAUUUUGUUUCUGGCUGCUCGGUCAGGCAAAGCCAACUGUUCACCACUAUGUGCGGUUCUCUUCCAUUUCAUGGUGUGUAACCGAAUAUGGCACAAGACUAUAGUUGUGUCAUUGUGAAAUUUACGAAUGUUGAUGUUUAUUUUCAAUAUAAUAGUAUUGUUUACCAAUUUGGUCCCUUGAUCAUGAACUAAUUUCUCUUUCUAUUCCUUCUAGAUAAUUUGCUUCAGUUCUAGCUACAUGGUGAAACAUGCAUAUUGUUUCCCGAUAUAUUGGGCAUCAGUCCACCUCUCAUGAGAUCUCUGAAUUUUUGAUCCAUAUUGUAUUUGCAGAAUUAUUUCUUCAAGAUAACUAUGCUUGGAUUCACAAAUGCAUGCAAUUUCCUUCAAAUGGAGGUUACUUCUUUACUAGUUAUGUGCUAUUCCACUUUCAAGUUUGGUUCUAGAAGUGUAAUACUUGCUAGCUUAGCUGCAGAAGCGGGAUGUAUAUGGCCUGAAUUUAUAUUUCAGAGUGUAUAAACUGAUUCAGAGUAUUCUGACAUCUAAAACAUUUUGUUGUAUGGUUC
This is a non-coding RNA of Triticum urartu, 2801 nucleotides long. Lineage: Eukaryota; Viridiplantae; Streptophyta; Magnoliopsida; Poales; Poaceae. The record is from RefSeq and is a predicted model, not a curated record.